GUGAGGGAUGACGGCCUUCGGGUUGUAAACCUCUUUUAGCAGGGAAGAAGCGAGAGUGACGGUACCUGCAGAAAAAGCGCCGGCUAACUACGUGCCAGCAGCCGCGGUAAUACGUAGGGCGCAAGCGUUAUCCGGAAUUAUUGGGCGUAAAGAGCUCGUAGGCGGUUUGUCGCGUCUGCUGUGAAAUCCCGAGGCUCAACCUCGGGCUUGCAGUGGGUACGGGCAGACUAGAGUGCGGUAGGGGAGAUUGGAAUUCCUGGUGUAGCGGUGGAAUGCGCAGAUAUCAGGAGGAACACCGAUGGCGAAGGCAGAUCUCUGGGCCGUAACUGACGCUGAGGAGCGAAAGGGUGGGGAGCAAACAGGCUUAGAUACCCUGGUAGUCCACCCCGUAAACGUUGGGAACUAGUUGUGGGGUCCUUUCCACGGAUUCCGUGACGCAGCUAACGCAUUAAGUUCCCCGCCUGGGGAGUACGGCCGCAAGGCUAAAACUCAAAGGAAUUGACGGGGACCCGCACAAGCGGCGGAGCAUGCGGAUUAAUUCGAUGCAACGCGAAGAACCUUACCAAGGCUUGACAUACACGAGAACGGGCCAGAAAUGGUCAACUCUUUGGACACUCGUGAACAGGUGGUGCAUGGUUGUCGUCAGCUCGUGUCGUGAGAUGUUGGGUUAAGUCCCGCAACGAGCGCAACCCUCGUUCUAUGUUGCCAGCACGUAAUGGUGGGAACUCAUGGGAUACUGCCGGGGUCAACUCGGAGGAAGGUGGGG
RNAcentral lists this ribosomal RNA (766 nucleotides) under Microbacterium resistens. RNAcentral's name for it is "bacterial SSU rRNA". It matches the Rfam family "Bacterial small subunit ribosomal RNA", at positions 401 to 1178 of the family's 1533-position model. Lineage: Bacteria; Bacillati; Actinomycetota; Actinomycetes; Micrococcales; Microbacteriaceae. The record is from RNAcentral.